GACGAACCGUCCAAACGUUAUUCGGAAUCACUGGGCUUACAGAGUUCGUAGGCGGUCUGGCAAGUUGGAUGUGAAAUCCCUCGGCUCAACCGAGGAACUGCGUUCGAUACUGCCAGACUCGAGGGAGAUAGAGGAAAGCGGAACUGAUGGUGGAGCGGUGAAAUGCGUUGAUAUCAUCAGGAACACCGGUGGCGAAGGCGGCUUUCUGGGUCUCUCCUGACGCUGAGGAACGAAAGCUAGGGUAGCGAACGGG
RNAcentral lists this ribosomal RNA (253 nucleotides) under uncultured bacterium. Its description in RNAcentral is "partial 16S ribosomal RNA". It matches the Rfam family "Bacterial small subunit ribosomal RNA", at positions 524 to 776 of the family's 1533-position model. RNAcentral also lists the same sequence under 1 other name. The record is from RNAcentral.